UACGAAGGGUGCAAGCGUUACUCGGAAUUACUGGGCGUAAAGCGUGCGUAGGUGGUUUGUUAAGUCUGUUGUGAAAGCCCCGGGCUCAACCUGGGAAUGGCAAUGGAUACUGGCAAGCUAGAGUGCGGUAGAGGGUAGUGGGAUUCCCGGUGUAGCGGUGAAAUGCGUAGAGAUCGGGAGGAACACCAGUGGCGAAGGCGGCUACCUGGACCAGCACUGACACUGAGGUGCGAAAGCGUGGGGAGCAAACAGG
RNAcentral lists this ribosomal RNA (253 nucleotides) under uncultured bacterium. RNAcentral describes it as "partial 16S ribosomal RNA". It matches the Rfam family "Bacterial small subunit ribosomal RNA", at positions 524 to 776 of the family's 1533-position model. The record is from RNAcentral.